RNAcentral lists this ribosomal RNA (777 nucleotides) under bacterium 13F. RNAcentral's name for it is "bacterial SSU rRNA". The stretch from base 3 to 445 matches the Rfam family "Bacterial small subunit ribosomal RNA", at positions 39 to 535 of the family's 1533-position model. The record is from RNAcentral.
GAGGGGCAGCUUAACAUGCAAGUCGAACGCCCCGCAGGGGGAGUGGCAGACGGGUGAGUAACACGUGGGAACAUACCCUUUGGUUCGGAACAACGCCGGGAAACUGGCGCUAAUACCUGAUACACCCUUUUGGGGAAAGGCUUGCUGCCGAAGGAUUGUCCCGCGUUCUAUUAUUUUGUUGGUGAGGUAACGGCUCACCAAAGCGACGAUCAAUUGCUGGUCUGAGAGGAUGGCCAGCCACCUUGGUACUGAGACACGGCCCACACUCCUCCUGGAGGCAGCAGUGGGGAAUAUUGUACAAUGGGCGCAAGACUGAUCAUCCAUGCUGCGGGAGUGAUGACGGCCUCCUGGAUGUAAGAUCUUCGUUCGCGACGAUAAAGAUGGACUGCUGGAGAAUAAAUCCCGGCCAGCUUAUUGCCUUCUACCACGAUAAUACUAAGGGAGCUAGCUUUACUCCGAUUCACUGUGGUGUAAUGGGAGCGUACGCGGAUUCUUUUAUAAUGUGAGAAAUCACCUAGAUUUAUUUCGUUUCUGACUUGGAUAUUGGAGAUCAUUGAUUCCAGCCAGGAGAACGGGAACUGUAAUUGUAGGGGAUGACUUUAAAUAUAUUCGCCCUUAAAAACACUUGAAGUAGCAAUAAAUGUUGACUAGUAACCGUUUAUAAUGCAUUAAAAUAUCGUUGAGCAAAAAACCACGUAUCAGAUAUCCUAGUUCCUUGAAUGUUCCAUUUCCAAUCUAAAGAGCACUAGAAUCGUUGGAUAUAUUUCCUAGAUUUAC